GAUGAACGCUAGCGGCAGGCUUAAUACAUGCAAGUCAAGGGGGUAGCAAUACAACCGGCGCACGGGUGAGUAACGCGUACACAACAUACCAUAUACUGGAGUAUAGCUUUGGGAAACUGAAGGUAAUCCUCCAUAACAUUGCGAGAGGGCAUCUGAUUGCAAUUAAAGUUUCGGCGGUAUAUGAUUGGUGUGCGUUUGAUUAGCUAGUUGGUAGGGUAACGGCCUACCAAGGCGACGAUCAAUAGCUGGCGUGAGAGCGCGACCAGCCACACUGGAACUGAGACACGGUCCAGACUCCUACGGGAGGCAGCAGUAGGGAAUAUUGGACAAUGGAGGAAACUCUGAUCCAGCCAUGCCGCGUGAUAGAUGAAGGCCCUCUGGGUUGUAAAUAUCUUUUAUCUGGGAAGAAACAAUCUUAUUCUUAAGAUCUUGACGGUACCAGAGGAAUAAGCACCGGCUAACUCCGUGCCAGCAGCCGCGGU
This 482-nucleotide ribosomal RNA is filed under the name uncultured bacterium. RNAcentral describes it as "bacterial SSU rRNA". It matches the Rfam family "Bacterial small subunit ribosomal RNA", at positions 28 to 521 of the family's 1533-position model. The record is from RNAcentral.